UUUAUUCUUGUGCGUGAUGAGGGGUUGCCAUAUUUAGGUAGUGAUCAUGAUGUUUCUAACCCUAGCCGUAACCAUGGAAAUUUUGCAUGUGUUUCAUAAUGAAAUGUUGUUAUAUCUGAUCAUGAUCUUGACCUUGGUUGGAAUACUGCAAAUAUUUAGGUGGAAUUGAUGUUCUACUAAUGAAGGAAGCGUCUAAGGUAAUUAAUUUGAGGUUUCUUGCUGCAAGUUCUGUCUUUUUACACAUCCGUAAUGUGUUUUUCAGAUUCCUGCCGAAAGAUCAAGAUGAAAUCAAUGGUUAAUGGGGGACAUUUCUGGUAUCCAGAUAGGUUAUGACGUAUACCUUCACCACAUCAGACCAUCUGAUAGUCACAUAUCUAGGUGAGUGAUAUUGAUGGGCUAAACUUGUUCUACUAUGUGAUUUAUUUCAGGUAUUCAGGUACAAAAUGAUAGUGUUUUAUCAAUUCUAGCAGUCAUCUCAAAAGAGAUGAUGGUGUUUCUGACCAUGGCGUAGACCUUGGAGUACUGCAAGAAUCCAGGCAGAGUUAAAUGUUGGGUCGUGCGUAAUGAAAAAGGCCAUUUGCAGUAUCCUAGUAGAAAAGGUGUCUCUAUGGACAGCUUUUUUACAACGUGUUUUUCAGGUUCUGGCAGUCAUGAAAUAACGGUGAACCUAAAAAUCGUCAUUAACAGAACCUUACCAGUAACCAAGUAUCCCUUCAAGAGAGGAAGGUGUCUCUUACUAGGGUUUAACCUCAGAUUUCUGCCGCUAUCCAGGUUCACGUGAAGACCUCCCUAUGAGCCAGUUAGUGGUAGUUAAUGAUGUGUGCAUAGCAGGUAUUGAGGUAAGUGAUAAUGUGGGCCUAACCCACAGUACAGAUCAUAUGACCUUCAUACAUGUAAAUAAGUGACGAUGGUGUCCCUAACACUUGUGUUACCAUAUAUUUUUCCAGGUACCCUGUUCAGCUCUUUGAUAGUACAAAGGUAUGAGAUGAUAUAAUAUUAACUCAUCGAUGUUCUUAUUUUCAACUAUCUAUGUAAUUGUUUUUAAGACUCCUCCUUCCCUUGUUUUUGGCAAGUAGAAGUUAAAUUAAUUUGACCCUGACCGUGGGGGACGGGAAGGGGGAAAACCUAGUUACACAGAGGGAGAGAGGCAAACUAUGAGACUCUUAAAUACAGAGAAUGAACUGAGGGUUGAUGGGGGGGGGGGGGAAUGGGUGAUGGGCAUUGAGGAGGACACUUGCUGGGAUGAGCACUGGGUGUUGUAUGUAAGCGAUGAAUCACGGGAAUCUACCCCCAAAACCAAGAGUACACUAUAUACUACUCUAUGUCAGCCAACUUGACAAUAAAUUACAUUUUUUUAAUUAAUUUUUGACCCUAAUAAUACUAGCAAGCAGUUUUUAUUGUUUGCUUAUCUGGAGAUAACGUGUAUUUCUCACUCAUAGUGGUAUGUCAGAUAUCUAAGUCACGUAUCAUAUUUUGCUAACUGCAUUAUUAACCAUGGAAUGUUUGCAGGUAUCCCUUCAAGAGAGGAAAGUGUGUCUGACUAGGGUUUAACUUCAGAGUUCUGGAAGUGUCCAGGUAAUGUUUAUGGGUCUCCAAAGGAUACAAGUGACCAGGGAAUUUGCAGGUGCAUGGGUAGAAUGAGACAUGUCCCAAACGUAAACCACAGUAUGUUUUUCAGAACAUGCCAAGAGAUCACAAUGAGUCUAUCUAUACCAGUUAAUGGGGGGGACAUGACUGGUAUUAAGGUAAGUGCUGCUCUGGCCCUAACCCAUGACACGGACCAUCUGAUCUUCGUGUAUUUAGGUAAGUGAUGACAUGUGCUGCCACUUUUUAUUACCAUGAUUUUGUUGCAGGAAUUCAGGUAAGAAGGAAGAAUCUUGCCAAUUCUAGAGACUGUAAAUUAAGAGAUAAUCGUGUCUCUAAUGGUGAGAUCAGCCUACCUAAGGUUACUGGUAGACUUAAUGAGUCCCGCAGUGAUACAAGGGACAAGGUUCUUACCAGGGUCCAGGUAAUAAAAGUGUUGUCAUAUCACAUCUGUUCAAGUGUGUUUUUCAGGUCACUGUUAAGAUACGAUGGUAAGCUUCAUAAAGAUGAUGAAAGGGAUUUUGUUUGUAUCCGGGUAAGUGAUGAUGAUAGCCUUUUCCAUGCAAUAGACUAUCUAUGUAAGUACGGGUGGUGCUUCUAACUUUGUGUUGCUGGGGUUUUUUUGUGUGUGUUUUUUGCAAGUAUUCGGCUAAGAAAUGAUAUUGUUAGUCAAUGCUAGUAAGCAUUAGCCCUUUCUUUAAAAUUUUUUAAAUUUAUUUGUUUUGAGAGAGAGAGAGAGCGAGCAUGAGUGCAGGAAAGGCAGAAAGCAGGAGAGAGAAAGAAUCCCAAGCAGGAUCUGCAGUGUCAGCACGGAGCCCAAUGCAGGGCUCCAACUCACGAAGCAUGAGAUCAUGACCUGAGCCGAAAUCAAGAGUAGGACGUUUAACUGACUGAGCCCCCCAGGUGCCCCAGCCCUUAUUAUUUUAAAGCUUAGAUACAACAUUUGUAAAACCUCAGUAGUGACAGAGAUAACACAAGUGUCCAGGUAAGUUAUUGACCAUUUCCUAUUUAUUGAUCACGGAUUCUUAACACUAGUCGAGACAGUAUUGUGUCUUUAACUGGAGGCUGACCUUGAACUCUGCAAGUUUCUAGGUAGAUUUGAUAAGCCUCAUAAAUUCGAUGGGAUUUGGCAGGUGUUCAGGUAAUACAUGUAUUCCUAACACAGUUUUUGCCAUGAAUUUUUGUAGAACCCAAUCAAGAGAUAAUGGAAGGCCUUACAUCCUGUCUUGAUUAGAUACCAGAAAAAUCCCAGAUUACCUACUGUGGUCACGAAGAGCACUGGGUGAUGUAUGGAAUUGUUGAAUCACUGUAUUGUAUGCCUGAAAUUAAGAUUAUACUGCAUGUUAACUUUGCUGGAAUUAAAAUUUAAAAAAUACAUAUGUAAGGGGAUUCAAACACAAUCCCAGUGAAAAAAUGAUCAUGGAGCAAGAUUUUCCAUUUUCAAUAGCUGCCUAUGAAAAAAAUCUUGCUCCAAUUCCUAAAAUGAGAAAAAGCAAAAAAUAAAAUCGAAUGAAUGAAUGAAUGAAUGAGUAAAUAAAUCAAUACGUAUUGUUGUCAGUUGAACCAUCAUCUCUUGAUUUGUAUUUUUACAGACACCCGCUCAAGAGGAGAUCAUGUCUCUAUUCAAGGGUCUUGUCCCUGGAGCUUUGCAGGUGUCCAGGUAAUGUGUCCCUAAUCCAGAUAACGAUCAUGGGAUUUUGCAGUUAUCCAAGCAAGAGACGACAUGCCCCUGCCAUGAUCUUGAUUCCCCUGCACAUGUCUGGGUAUCCAGACUUUUAAGGUAUUCUGGGAAGAGAUGGUGAUGGUCCUAACCACACUAAUGAUGACAGAAAUUUGCACAUAUCCACUCAAGAGACGAUGGCAUCUCCGUCAACAUUGGUGGCUGUGAAGAUGGAAGAAAUGAAAUGCUUUUUUUUUUUUUUUUGGAACUAUAUAAUUUAUUAAAAGAAUUUUGACAUUCAAUGACUAGUAAAUGUUAUUCAAAAUUGUA
Long non-coding RNA from Acinonyx jubatus (cheetah), 3574 nucleotides. RefSeq lists it as uncharacterized. The record is from RefSeq and is a predicted model, not a curated record. The transcript has 5 exons. NCBI's taxonomy places the organism in Eukaryota, Metazoa, Chordata, Mammalia, Carnivora, Felidae.